GCUGAGGUGGCGGAGUGGUUAACGCGCCAGCCUGGAGAGCUGGUCCUCGCAAGAGGUCGCAGGUUCGAAUCCUGCCCUCAGCG
Molecule: transfer RNA, 83 nt
Filed under: Candidatus Aenigmatarchaeota archaeon
Lineage: Archaea; Nanobdellati; Candidatus Aenigmatarchaeota
Description: tRNA-Ser
Rfam family: tRNA
About the family: Transfer RNA (tRNA) molecules are approximately 80 nucleotides in length.
Source: RNAcentral